RNAcentral lists this transfer RNA (76 nucleotides) under Burkholderia cenocepacia. RNAcentral describes it as "tRNA-Arg". Lineage: Bacteria; Pseudomonadati; Pseudomonadota; Betaproteobacteria; Burkholderiales; Burkholderiaceae. The record is from RNAcentral.
UUCAUGCUGGCCGGGACGGGCGGCGGGUUGCGGCCGCGCGACGCCGUCCGCCAGGUUCCGACCCCUUGGCGUGAAU